Molecule: unclassified non-coding RNA, 245 nt
Filed under: Leptosphaeria sp.
Lineage: Eukaryota; Fungi; Ascomycota; Dothideomycetes; Pleosporales; Leptosphaeriaceae
Also listed under: 1 other name
Description: partial internal transcribed spacer region
Rfam family: Eukaryotic small subunit ribosomal RNA (bases 1-46)
Source: RNAcentral
AAGUCGUAACAAGGUUUCCGUAGGUGAACCUGCGGAAGGAUCAUUACCUUUCAAUGCAGAAGAGUUGAGAUGGUUGAGUAUCUCGCCUCUCAAUUCUCGCUGUAUUUUACCCUUGUUUUUCUCAUACUAUUAUUUCCUCGGCAGGCUCGCCUGCCGGGUGAAAUAACUUCAAACCUGUUUAAUUUUCAAUCAGCGUCUGAACAAAUUAAUAAUUACAACUUUCAACAACGGAUCUCUUGGUUCUG